RNAcentral lists this ribosomal RNA (2587 nucleotides) under Escherichia coli. RNAcentral describes it as "bacterial LSU rRNA". It matches the Rfam family "Bacterial large subunit ribosomal RNA", at positions 354 to 2925 of the family's 2925-position model. The record is from RNAcentral. Lineage: Bacteria; Pseudomonadati; Pseudomonadota; Gammaproteobacteria; Enterobacterales; Enterobacteriaceae.
CGAUACAGGGUGACAGCCCCGUACACAAAAAUGCACAUGCUGUGAGCUCGAUGAGUAGGGCGGGACACGUGGUAUCCUGUCUGAAUAUGGGGGGACCAUCCUCCAAGGCUAAAUACUCCUGACUGACCGAUAGUGAACCAGUACCGUGAGGGAAAGGCGAAAAGAACCCCGGCGAGGGGAGUGAAAAAGAACCUGAAACCGUGUACGUACAAGCAGUGGGAGCACGCUUAGGCGUGUGACUGCGUACCUUUUGUAUAAUGGGUCAGCGACUUAUAUUCUGUAGCAAGGUUAACCGAAUAGGGGAGCCGAAGGGAAACCGAGUCUUAACUGGGCGUUAAGUUGCAGGGUAUAGACCCGAAACCCGGUGAUCUAGCCAUGGGCAGGUUGAAGGUUGGGUAACACUAACUGGAGGACCGAACCGACUAAUGUUGAAAAAUUAGCGGAUGACUUGUGGCUGGGGGUGAAAGGCCAAUCAAACCGGGAGAUAGCUGGUUCUCCCCGAAAGCUAUUUAGGUAGCGCCUCGUGAAUUCAUCUCCGGGGGUAGAGCACUGUUUCGGCAAGGGGGUCAUCCCGACUUACCAACCCGAUGCAAACUGCGAAUACCGGAGAAUGUUAUCACGGGAGACACACGGCGGGUGCUAACGUCCGUCGUGAAGAGGGAAACAACCCAGACCGCCAGCUAAGGUCCCAAAGUCAUGGUUAAGUGGGAAACGAUGUGGGAAGGCCCAGACAGCCAGGAUGUUGGCUUAGAAGCAGCCAUCAUUUAAAGAAAGCGUAAUAGCUCACUGGUCGAGUCGGCCUGCGCGGAAGAUGUAACGGGGCUAAACCAUGCACCGAAGCUGCGGCAGCGACGCUUAUGCGUUGUUGGGUAGGGGAGCGUUCUGUAAGCCUGUGAAGGUGUGCUGUGAGGCAUGCUGGAGGUAUCAGAAGUGCGAAUGCUGACAUAAGUAACGAUAAAGCGGGUGAAAAGCCCGCUCGCCGGAAGACCAAGGGUUCCUGUCCAACGUUAAUCGGGGCAGGGUGAGUCGACCCCUAAGGCGAGGCCGAAAGGCGUAGUCGAUGGGAAACAGGUUAAUAUUCCUGUACUUGGUGUUACUGCGAAGGGGGGACGGAGAAGGCUAUGUUGGCCGGGCGACGGUUGUCCCGGUUUAAGCGUGUAGGCUGGUUUUCCAGGCAAAUCCGGAAAAUCAAGGCUGAGGCGUGAUGACGAGGCACUACGGUGCUGAAGCAACAAAUGCCCUGCUUCCAGGAAAAGCCUCUAAGCAUCAGGUAACAUCAAAUCGUACCCCAAACCGACACAGGUGGUCAGGUAGAGAAUACCAAGGCGCUUGAGAGAACUCGGGUGAAGGAACUAGGCAAAAUGGUGCCGUAACUUCGGGAGAAGGCACGCUGAUAUGUAGGUGAAGUCCCUCGCGGAUGGAGCUGAAAUCAGUCGAAGAUACCAGCUGGCUGCAACUGUUUAUUAAAAACACAGCACUGUGCAAACACGAAAGUGGACGUAUACGGUGUGACGCCUGCCCGGUGCCGGAAGGUUAAUUGAUGGGGUCAGCGCAAGCGAAGCUCUUGAUCGAAGCCCCGGUAAACGGCGGCCGUAACUAUAACGGUCCUAAGGUAGCGAAAUUCCUUGUCGGGUAAGUUCCGACCUGCACGAAUGGCGUAAUGAUGGCCAGGCUGUCUCCACCCGAGACUCAGUGAAAUUGAACUCGCUGUGAAGAUGCAGUGUACCCGCGGCAAGACGGAAAGACCCCGUGAACCUUUACUAUAGCUUGACACUGAACAUUGAGCCUUGAUGUGUAGGAUAGGUGGGAGGCUUUGAAGUGUGGACGCCAGUCUGCAUGGAGCCGGCCUUGAAAUACCACCCUUUAAUGUUUGAUGUUCUAACGUUGACCCGUAAUCCGGGUUGCGGACAGUGUCUGGUGGGUAGUUUGACUGGGGCGGUCUCCUCCUAAAGAGUAACGGAGGAGCACGAAGGUUGGCUAAUCCUGGUCGGACAUCAGGAGGUUAGUGCAAUGGCAUAAGCCAGCUUGACUGCGAGCGUGACGGCGCGAGCAGGUGCGAAAGCAGGUCAUAGUGAUCCGGUGGUUCUGAAUGGAAGGGCCAUCGCUCAACGGAUAAAAGGUACUCCGGGGAUAACAGGCUGAUACCGCCCAAGAGUUCAUAUCGACGGCGGUGUUUGGCACCUCGAUGUCGGCUCAUCACAUCCUGGGGCUGAAGUAGGUCCCAAGGGUAUGGCUGUUCGCCAUUUAAAGUGGUACGCGAGCUGGGUUUAGAACGUCGUGAGACAGUUCGGUCCCUAUCUGCCGUGGGCGCUGGAGAACUGAGGGGGGCUGCUCCUAGUACGAGAGGACCGGAGUGGACGCAUCACUGGUGUUCGGGUUGUCAUGCCAAUGGCACUGCCCGGUAGCUAAAUGCGGAAGAGAUAAGUGCUGAAAGCAUCUAAGCACGAAACUUGCCCCGAGAUGAGUUCUCCCUGACUCCUUGAGAGUCCUGAAGGAACGUUGAAGACGACGACGUUGAUAGGCCGGGUGUGUAAGCGCAGCGAUGCGUUGAGCUAACCGGUACUAAUGAACCGUGAGGCUUAACCUU